UCAUAUUCUAGUGGCGGACGGGUGAGUAACGCGUGGGCAACCUGCCCUGUACCGGGGGAUAACACUUAGAAAUAAGUGCUAAUACCGCAUAAUAGGGAAUACCGCAUGGUAAUCCUUUGAAAACUCCGGUGGUACAGGAUGGGCCCGCGUCUGAUUAGCCAGUUGGCGGGGUAACGGCCCACCAAAGCGACGAUCAGCAGCCGGCCUGAGAGGGUGGACGGCCACACUGGGACUGAGACACGGCCCAGACUCCUACGGAAGGCAGCAG
RNAcentral lists this ribosomal RNA (268 nucleotides) under uncultured bacterium. Its description in RNAcentral is "partial 16S ribosomal RNA". It matches the Rfam family "Bacterial small subunit ribosomal RNA", at positions 85 to 354 of the family's 1533-position model. The record is from RNAcentral.